This 253-nucleotide ribosomal RNA is filed under the name uncultured bacterium. RNAcentral's name for it is "partial 16S ribosomal RNA". It matches the Rfam family "Bacterial small subunit ribosomal RNA", at positions 524 to 776 of the family's 1533-position model. The record is from RNAcentral.
UACGUAGGGUGCAAGCGUUAAUCGGAAUUACUGGGCGUAAAGCGUGCGCAGGCGGUGAUGUAAGACAGGUGUGAAAUCCCCGGGCCUAACCUGGGAACUGCAUUUGUGACUGCAUCGCUGGAGUGCGGCAGAGGGGGAUGGAAUUCCGCGUGUAGCAGUGAAAUGCGUAGAUAUGCGGAGGAACACCGAUGGCGAAGGCAAUCCCCUGGGCCUGCACUGACGCUCAUGCACGAAAGCGUGGGGAGCAAACAGG